GAAAUGCGAUAAGUAUUGUGAAUUGCAGAAUCCAGUGAAUCAUCGAAUCUUUGAACGCACAUUGCGCCCGCCGGUACUCCGGCGGGCAUGCCUGUUCGAGCGUCAUUUCAACCCUCAAGCCCCCCGCGGCUUGGUUAUGGGACCUCCCUGUCACAUGGGGGGUUCUCAAAUCGAUAGGCGGGUCACCGCAGGCUCUCAGCGCAGUAACUUGCUUCUCGCUGGGCCUAGCCCCAGGUACCCCAGCCUCUAAAACUAUUUUUUUUAAUACAAGGUUGACCUCGGAUCAGGUAGGAAUACCCGCUGAACUUAA
RNAcentral lists this unclassified non-coding RNA (310 nucleotides) under uncultured Ascomycota. Its description in RNAcentral is "sequence contains ITS1". The stretch from base 1 to 105 matches the Rfam family "5.8S ribosomal RNA", at positions 50 to 154 of the family's 154-position model. The record is from RNAcentral. Lineage: Eukaryota; Fungi; Ascomycota.